RNAcentral lists this long non-coding RNA (417 nucleotides) under Bos indicus x Bos taurus (hybrid cattle). RNAcentral's name for it is "lncRNA (ENSBIXG00000002900.1)". Lineage: Eukaryota; Metazoa; Chordata; Mammalia; Artiodactyla; Bovidae. The record is from RNAcentral.
AUUAUUUUUUUUAAUUUUAUUUUAUUUUUAAACUUUACAAUAUUGUAUUAGUUUUGCCAAAUAUUGAAAUGAAUCCGCCACAGGUAUACCUGUGUUCCCCACCCUGAACCCUCCUCCCUCCUCCCUCCCCAUACCCUCCCUCUGGGUCAUCUUAUGAUCCCUCAUAAAGUUCCUUCUGGAACAAGAUUCCCUUUUCUCCUCAAGCCAGCCCCCAGUAGGUUCACCUUUACAGUUUCUGGAACUAGAACAAGAGGUGUAUUAAUUUUCUCUCUGACUAUGUGUGGACAUCCUAAGGAUGCCCUGGGAUCUUUUGAAUGAGAUUUUGGAUCACAUGUCUAUCAGCAGACCAGAAAACAAAUGACAAAUGACAAAAAUUAUGACAAUAAAAAUAGGUAAGUCCAUAAGGAUAAUCCUCUU